GAUGAACGCUGGCGGCGUGCCUAAUACAUGCAAGUCGAGCGAAUGGAUUAAGAGCUUGCUCUUAUGAAGUUAGCGGCGGACGGGUGAGUAACACGUGGGUAACCUGCCCAUAAGACCGGGAUAACUCCGGGAAACCGGGGCUAAUACCGGAUAACAUUUUGAACCGCAUGGUUCGAAAUUGAAAGGCGGCUUCGGCUGUCACUUAUGGCUGGACCCGCGUCGCAUUAGCUAGUUGGUGAGGUAACGGUUCACCAAGGCAACGAUGCGUAGCCGACCUGAGAGGGUGAUCGGCCACGCUGGGACUGAGACACGGCCCAGACUCCUACGGGAGGCAGCAGUAGGGAAUCUUCCGCAAUGGACGAAAGUCUGACGGAGCAACGCCGCGUGAGUGAUGAAGGCUUUCGGGUCGUAAAACUCUGUUGUUAGGGAAGAACAAGUGCUAGUUGAAUAAGCUGGCACCUUGACGGUACCUAACCAGAAAGCCACGGCUAACUACGUGCCAGCAGCCGCGGUAA
Molecule: ribosomal RNA, 515 nt
Filed under: uncultured bacterium
Lineage: Bacteria
Description: partial 16S ribosomal RNA
Rfam family: Bacterial small subunit ribosomal RNA
Source: RNAcentral